CGUCGGAGUCGGAACGGGCAUCCCUGCCACCCCCCGCCCUCCCCCUUCCCACACGUUGGCCGAAUGGACGCUGCAAAGAGGAAAUCCAGUUAUCAAAAUGACUCCAGAAAAGAGAACCUAACAUCCAUUAACAAUGGGAAAUACUGAAAACGUUACCAAAAAGCUACCAUUCCUCAAAACACCAGGCCCAGAUGGUGUCACAGGU
Molecule: RNA transcript, 205 nt
Organism: Myotis davidii
Lineage: Eukaryota; Metazoa; Chordata; Mammalia; Chiroptera; Vespertilionidae
Exons: 2
Source: RefSeq, a predicted model, not a curated record